This 83-nucleotide transfer RNA is filed under the name Lecanora saxigena. RNAcentral describes it as "tRNA-Ser". Lineage: Eukaryota; Fungi; Ascomycota; Lecanoromycetes; Lecanorales; Lecanoraceae. The record is from RNAcentral.
GGAAAAAUUGCUAUUGGUAAGGCAAGAUAUUUGCUAAAUAUUGUGUAAUUAACACCUGGAUGUUCGAAUCAUCUUUUUUCCGC